RNAcentral lists this long non-coding RNA (535 nucleotides) under Nicotiana tabacum (common tobacco). RNAcentral's name for it is "long non-coding RNA (NTAB_LNC017449)". Lineage: Eukaryota; Viridiplantae; Streptophyta; Magnoliopsida; Solanales; Solanaceae. The record is from RNAcentral.
CCAAUUAUAGUUUCAACGUAGGUCUCAAUGUUCACAGCACAACCUUACUUUAAGCAUGCUAAGACAAGGAAAUUGAACCCACAGGUUGAGUGAGAAAGAAAAUAAAGAAGGAAACAUCUGAUAAAAACAGAAAUCUUCAUUUUUCUUCAAAACACCACAUGAGCCAGUCCUCCAUGUUUAAGAUCAAGAGUAUGUACCUGGUAACAAACAACAAAACAAAAGGAGAAAAACUGAGUUGAGAUCAGAACAGAAGCAGCAACAGUAACAAAUUCAGAUAGAGGGGAAAAUCACAGCAGAAUCAGCUCAAUGGAACAGUAGACUUAAAACCAGACAGCUCCCAACAUAAGCUUUGAAAUCCCAAAAACUCAUACCAUUUUUCACUCAAAUGCAAGAAUUUAUGGUUUUCAAGGGUUCUAGCUAAUGGGAAAGAUCAGAAAUCCAGCAAACAAACCAAAUUUGAGCAAUCUCCAACCAAAAAUGCAGGGAAUUCAGUAUUGCUUUUUAGAGUCAGCCGUUUCCAUUUUCAGGUCUUUUU